RNAcentral lists this ribosomal RNA (253 nucleotides) under uncultured bacterium. Its description in RNAcentral is "partial 16S ribosomal RNA". It matches the Rfam family "Bacterial small subunit ribosomal RNA", at positions 524 to 776 of the family's 1533-position model. The record is from RNAcentral.
GACGAACCGUCCGAACGUUAUUCGGAAUCACUGGGCUUGAAGGGCGCGUAGGCGGAUAUCUAAGUUGGGGGUGAAAUCCCGGGGCUCAACCUCGGAAUUGCCUUCAAAACUGGAUAUCUUGAGUUCGGGAGAGGUGAGUGGAACUCCGAGUGUAGAGGUGAAAUUCGUAGAUAUUCGGAAGAACACCAGUGGCGAAGGCGACUCACUGGCCCGAUACUGACGCUGAGGCACGAAAGCGUGGGGAGCAAACAGG